RNAcentral lists this transfer RNA (73 nucleotides) under Candidatus Magasanikiibacteriota bacterium. Its description in RNAcentral is "Candidatus Magasanikbacteria bacterium tRNA-Asn". It matches the Rfam family "tRNA". From Rfam's summary of the family: Transfer RNA (tRNA) molecules are approximately 80 nucleotides in length. Their secondary structure includes four short double-helical elements and three loops (D, anti-codon, and T loops). Lineage: Bacteria; Candidatus Magasanikiibacteriota. The record is from RNAcentral.
UCCCCUGUAGUUCAAUUGGUAGAACGUCGUGCUGUUAACGCGAAUGUUGUAGGUUCGAACCCUGCUGGGGGAG